Oncorhynchus keta (chum salmon) is the source of this 300-nucleotide long non-coding RNA. RefSeq lists it as uncharacterized. The record is from RefSeq and is a predicted model, not a curated record. Lineage: Eukaryota; Metazoa; Chordata; Actinopteri; Salmoniformes; Salmonidae. The transcript has 3 exons.
GUGAGGAAGGUCAAGUGAUCAGCACAUGUCCCUAUCCCAAAAUACAGUGAGGAAGGUCAAGUGAUCAGCACAUGUCCCUAUCCCAAAAUACAGUGAGGAAGGUCAAGUGAUCAGCAAUGUUUAGGUUUAAAAUAGAAUUGAUCAGAAAGAGAAAACAAAUGUUUAACAGGAAAGUCCAUUGGCAGUACAGACCAGAAUGCAGGUCAAAGCCUGUACAUACUGGACUGUUGAUUAGUAUUAGAACCAAAGGAAUGUCAGGUCAGAGCUUUCAUUUUGACUGGAGAAAUAGCCAUCAGGAAA